This is a non-coding RNA of Pelobates cultripes (western spadefoot toad), 1972 nucleotides long. Lineage: Eukaryota; Metazoa; Chordata; Amphibia; Anura; Pelobatidae. The record is from the annotation of a GenBank genome assembly.
GUACAUGUACAGGGUAAUAAUACUAUCCAGGUUUCAUACACAAAUACAGGGGGAUUAAGAAUUUUCAAAUGAUGAGCUGGGUCAAAAACAGGAACUCAAUCAGUCCAAAUGCACUAAAGGCUCAAGAACCCCAAAAGGGCUCAGAGCAGCUAGGAAGCUCUCUUUAAAUAUGGAGGUCCUGCACAUGAUUGGCUCUGCUUCCUGGGAGUAAUCAGCAAGAAAAGUUGCACCUGUGUUACCCACGGGUGUCCUGCAAAAUUAAUGUUAUUAAACGCUAGUUAUAGAUUUGUAAACAACCACCGAUAGCCUAAUAAGUUUGAACAUCUUGGGAGCCUGUUGCCAUCUCUCUUCUGCUGAAAAAAUCCUGCAAGGGUCAGUUCAUCCUGAGCAUUCCCAGCCAAUGAACCUGACCAUGCAAGGCCUGGCUUAGCUCAGUGGCAGGAGUUUUUGGGACAAGUGAGGCGAGGUGGCCCUUGAUGCCUAAAUUACCCAGGUAAGUCGUCAAGCCAUUCUGAAAUGGUUUUGACUAUUUUAAAAGAGCUAAAAAUAUAUAUUAAUAUAAUGCAACAAAUAUGACUUUAAUGCUUUGUUGAUCUUUUGCAGAUAGUUACAUUUCUAACAACUCGUUCACACAGAAAAAGAUGUGGCUGUGGAUUGAGGAUUUGUCUAGUCACAGAGUUGUUCCUGAAUUUAGUAACCUGGCUCAUACUAAAAACAUCCACUUGGCAGGCUGCAAUUUCUUAUCAAAUGUAGAGACAAACAUUGCCCGGUGAUCUUCUGUUGUGACUGCUGUACCCGUCCUGACUAGUGUUAUUCACACCUUGUUCUAGUCAUUGCCAUGAGGUGACCUACAAAUAUUUGAGGCCACGGGGCUGUCACAUGAAUGUAUUCAUAAAAUAGAUACAACAUGGCAACAAUGUGUGAAAAUAGACUGAUAACCCUUUCAAUCCUGUAUGUGUACAAUGCUAUACCCCUGACAUUUCACAUGGACAAAGAGGGACACUCAUUUUAGGGGUGAUGCUUUGGUAGGGACUGUUCUGAGGAAUUAUGGGUGAUUUACUAAUAAAAAAAAACCUCAUACAACUAAAAAUAUACUUAAUAACAACAAGAAUGUUUGUUUUUUUACAUGGACUGAAUUCCAAACACAUUUAUUGUAGUUUAACCCCUUAAGGACACAUGACACGUGUGACAUGUCAGGAUUCCCUUUUAUUCCAGAAGUUUGGUCCUUAAGGGGUUAAAUACACAUUACUUGGAGUAUAGUUGCUGUGGAGCUCCGUUCUACACUCAGGCACAACAACAAUAUGGAGCUCCUAGAAAAAAAAAGGACAUCAUGACAGAAAAUAGGGACAGAGGGAUUUGGGCUGAAACUAGGGAUUGUUCCUCAUUAUGUAUAGAAUGCAAGUAUGAGUCAUCAUCUUCACUGUACAAAUAUAUCAAUUACUAGAGCCAUGGAAUAAUUUAAAAUGUAAUACUUCUAGCAACAAAAGAUAAAAACGUUUACAUUGUACCUUUUGUGGAUGGUUUCCAAAGCCAUAUAAACAAGGGAAGCACCAAAUAGUAAUUUGUUUUGUCACUAUUGAGAUUUUAUCAAGAUCUUUAGCAUUAUUACUUGGAAACUAUUUUAACUCUACGUAACACUACCAUGUACCUUUUGUUAUGAAGACAGAUUUGCCUAUCUGGAAUGGUUCCUUUGUACCAUAACAGCUUCUAAAGGGGCCAGAACCUACUCGUUUUGAAUAAAUAGGAAAUAAUUAAAGAUCCAUUAGAAUAAUCAUGGAAAUAAGAAAAAAACUCAAUGUUUCCUCCAAGGGUGGGUACUGAUAAGGUGACUAUACUAUUUUUAUAGUCAGAGAUGCCAUUGAUAUGUUUUUUCCUAGAACUUGAUACCAACUAGUAAUUUUUCUGUCUGAAACAACUUUGACAAUUGCAGCGCGCAAGAAUAGUGUUGAUAAUGUUACGUGCUAUUUUGGAA